Molecule: long non-coding RNA, 1035 nt
Organism: Vidua chalybeata
Lineage: Eukaryota; Metazoa; Chordata; Aves; Passeriformes; Viduidae
Exons: 7
Source: RefSeq, a predicted model, not a curated record
GGCCAUCUUGUGCGUCGACUGCUCCUCUCACCGCCCACCUCCCUCUCUCCCUCCCUCUCUCUCUCCGCACCACCCGCCCCUUCCUGCGCCCGCCUUCCCCCGCAACCGGGACGCGACCGGACGGGACGGGAUGAGGAGAAAUAACCGAGUCACGGCCUGGAGCCCGUGAGAGCAGGGCAGGGCGGGGGAAGUAUCGCCCGUAUCGGGCAGGGUACCUCGCACUCCGUCAGGGACGGCCUCCAAUGUCAGAUGCCUUCCUACUUUCAGGAACCUCUGUUGGCGGACCCUACGGUUGCCUCAUGCCAUCACACUUUAUUGCUUCAAGCCGGUUACUUUUCUUACUUCAGGGAAAAAUAACACAAAUUAAGUUCCCUCUUACGUGGGUGUGCAGGGCAAAGCUUUUGGGGUUUUGCCCGCCAGUCCCGAGUGAAGGCGUAGAGAUGGACUCGGUGCUGGAGAAGGUCCCCCGUAGCUUUGUGUGCUGCAGGACACAAAUCAUCCUUAGCUUUAACCAAUACCACAGCCUACUUGGAAUGCAAAGGUCUAUGUAAAUAUACCCUCUGACUGCAGCUGCUGUGGAAAAAAAGAGAAAUUAUAAGGAAGGUUUACUCAUGUACUAUAAAACUGGGAGAAAAUGAGAGACAGCAGGUGAAAGAAGCAGCAUUUACAAAGGAAGAAAAAGGAAAAUCACUGAAGCCACAGCAAUGACUCGAGGAGAUCCUUCCAGCAGUGAAGAGCACAGUCUCUGUUUUACUUCUUCAGCCAAAAUUUUAUCCCGUUUAUAUAAAUAUAUAUGCAAUAUAUGCAAAGCACCACAGGAAACAAGGGGAGAUGAUGUCAAGCUUUGACAAGAUGAAGAUCAUUCUGGAGCUUUGAAUGACUACCCAUUACAUUUCUGAAUAUUAAAAAUAUACUGGGAAAAAAAAUUAAAUGUAAAUUUGGACCCUUCAGAAGCAUCCUACUACUAUUUUACUAGGUUAUUGUAUAAAGCCUUUUAAAAACAAAUACAGGUUUAAAUAAAUUAUGCAAAAGAAA